AUUGAACGCUGGCGGCAUGCCUUACACAUGCAAGUCGAACGGCAGCACGGGUGCUUGCUCCUGGUGGCGAGUGGCGAACGGGUGAGUAAUACAUCGGAACAUGUCCUGUAGUGGGGGGUAGCCCGGCGAAAGCCGGAUUAAUACCGCAUACGAUCUACGGAUGACAGCGGGGGUCCUUCGGGCCUGGCGCUGUAGGGCUGGCCGAUGGCUGAUUAGCUUGUUGGUGGGGUAAAGGGCUACCAAGGCGACGAUCAGUAGCUGGUCUGAGAGGAUGACCGGCCACACUGGGACUGAGACACGGCCAAGACUCCUACGGGAGGCAGCAGUGGGGAAUUUUGGACAAUGGGCGAAAGCCUGAUCCAGCAAUGCCGCGUGUGUGAAGAAGGCCUUCGGGUUGUAAAGCACUUUUGUCCGGAAAGAAAUCCUUGGCCCUAAUACGGUCGGGGGAUGACGGUACCGGAAGAAUAAGCACCGGCUAACUACGUG
Molecule: ribosomal RNA, 486 nt
Filed under: uncultured bacterium
Lineage: Bacteria
Description: partial 16S ribosomal RNA
Rfam family: Bacterial small subunit ribosomal RNA
Source: RNAcentral